ACGGAAGGCAGCAGUGAGGAAUAUUGGUCAAUGGGCGGAAGCCUGAACCAGCCAAGUCGCGUGAAGGAUGAAGGUAUUAUGUAUUGUAAACUUCUUUAGACGUAGAGAAAUAAGAGGCUCGUGAGCCUUGAUGCUAGUAUACGUAGAAUAAGGAUCGGCUAACUCCGUGCCAGCAGCCGCGGUAAUACGGAGGAUCCGAGCGUUAUCCGGAUUUAUUGGGUUUAAAGGGUGCGCAGGCGGCCCUGUAAGUCAGCGGUUAAAUCGUGGAGCUCAACUCCAUCCCGCCGUUGAUACUGCAGGGCUUGAUUGCGGUCGAGGUUGGCGGAAUUCGCCGUGUAGCGGUGAGAUGCAUAGAUAUGGCGAAGAACUCCGAUUGCGUAGGCAGCUGACCAGGCCGUAAAUGACGCUCAUGCACGAAAGUGCGGGGAUCGAACAGGAUUAGAUACCCUGGUA
This 453-nucleotide ribosomal RNA is filed under the name uncultured Porphyromonadaceae bacterium. RNAcentral describes it as "partial 16S ribosomal RNA". It matches the Rfam family "Bacterial small subunit ribosomal RNA", at positions 341 to 792 of the family's 1533-position model. Lineage: Bacteria; Pseudomonadati; Bacteroidota; Bacteroidia; Bacteroidales; Porphyromonadaceae. The record is from RNAcentral.